This is a long non-coding RNA of Eurytemora carolleeae, 599 nucleotides long. RefSeq lists it as uncharacterized. The transcript has 4 exons. The record is from RefSeq and is a predicted model, not a curated record. NCBI's taxonomy places the organism in Eukaryota, Metazoa, Arthropoda, Copepoda, Calanoida, Temoridae.
UCAUAAUAAAAUUGCUGUUCCCGUAAACAGCAGAUUGUUCCAAUUAAUUGUUCGAGAGAUGAAACCAGCAGAUUGUUCCUGAAACUAAGAUUCUGUUCCAGAGCCAAAACCAACAGAUGGUUCCUGAACCUAAGAUACUGUUCCAGAAACCUGUUCCUGAUUAACACUUCGGAGAAUACGCAUACAAUAACCGACUCGUACGAAAAAAUUGACUAACCAAAACCACUUAAAUCCGCAUGUUUACAUGCAAAAUAAUAAAUCCGUUUUUUUAAUACAUGACAUAUCUAAAAUAAUUUUGAGUGGACGAAUAUUUUAGUGGAAUGAGCAAGAAGAGAAGCCAGCUCCGGUUUCUAGAUUACCAAAAUUAGAAAUAAAUUCUGGGGAGGAUUGUGCUAUAGGUCCAGGAACUGAUGAUAUCCAGUUAGAAGUAGAACCAAAGGAGAAAUUUGUGAUUCACUGGAGUAGACAGGGCAUAGUCGAAUUGUUUAUUUACCUGUCUGAUGUGGAUUCUCAUAUACAGAACAGUAGUAUAUACAAUAAUACAAGGUAUGUACAUAAACAUGUACUAUGUACAUAUACAGAACAGUAGUAUAUACAAU